UACGGAGGGUGCAAGCGUUAUCCGGAUUCACUGGGUUUAAAGGGUGCGUAGGUGGGCAGGUAAGUCAGUGGUGAAAUCUCCGGGCUUAACCCGGAAACUGCCAUUGAUACUAUCUGUCUUGAAUACCGUGGAGGUGAGCGGAAUAUGUCAUGUAGCGGUGAAAUGCUUAGAUAUGACAUAGAACACCAAUUGCGAAGGCAGCUCACUACGCGAAUAUUGACACUGGGGCACGAAAGCGUGGGGAUCGAAACAGG
This 254-nucleotide ribosomal RNA is filed under the name uncultured bacterium. RNAcentral describes it as "partial 16S ribosomal RNA". It matches the Rfam family "Bacterial small subunit ribosomal RNA", at positions 524 to 776 of the family's 1533-position model. The record is from RNAcentral.